UACAGCUAGCGACUUAACCUUUAUCUCAAUAUGUUCAGGCUGCGCUUAGUAUUGGAUCCACAGGACCUACAAAAUCUGAAUACUACCCUAUUUUGUUUAUUGGGUUUACACAACUUCCAACUCCUUGUGUAUUUGUGCGAUAUGCCAAUAUGAUGGUGAUAUGUGUACAUUACUGAAGCUGCAAAGGUAAUGUUUUACCGCUGAAUGAAAAUGUUGUGCCGACAAUAAAACAAACCUUCAUAUUGAGAAUGAAAGGGUACUUUCUUUCUCUUAACUAUUUCAAUAUUCUUUUGAGAAACAUCUUGAAAGAAUAGCAUAUGUAUUUACUUUUGAGUUCUUGACUCACAAUAUCAAAUCUAUAUUUCCACUUUUUCGUUGUCACUACUGCUUUUACUAAACCUGCCACUGUUGACAUUAGGUAGUACUGGUAGGGAUGUGAAUAAUGUUUUAUAAUUACAACAGUUGGUGCUACUAAUUGGAUCUAUCUCUUACACUUACGUUGCUAUUACAUCUGUUCCAAAAUGUAAUUAGCAUUCUAAAAUGACAUACAUUUUGUAACGAGUGUAGUACUUGUUACUGUUGUGCUACAUCUCAAGAGCCAGUUAUGAUGUCGAUCCCGCCAUUUCCAGACAGUGGGUUUUAACAUGGGAUCGACCGAUUGAAUUUAGUCAUCAUAUUGAAAGCACCUUUAUCCAAGACAAUGGAGGAUGAAAACAGUCUCUUCAGAUUAUUAUCUCUACUACUUAAAAAGACUAAACAUGUUCUCUAUUCUCGCACUACAUCAAGCCCUUUCGUCAUCGCUCCCAUCGCGUUUCGCCCGCGGACGCGCCCUUUUCUCUAGCCCCUACUCCCCCCCCGCACCUCACCCCCGCAUCCGACGCCCCUCCGACCUCCUCCAACGCCUCCUCACACCGGCCGCCGGAUCCUGUCGUCACUGCCUCCAUUGCAUUGAUCCUGUCCUCCACCGCUUGUCUCGGGGGCAUGGAGGCUAGGCGUACUACCCAGACCAUGAACAAGAACAAACGCACGGAGACGCGGAACGAGGCAUAGGUCCCCGAUAUCAUGGAUGGAAGCCCAGAUCCGAAUUCCCCUCUUGAUAUCAUGGGGUAAUAUUCUGGAAUAAAAUUCGUGGUGCUUAAAUAGGAGACUCCACUGGAAGUUAGACUUAACUUUAUCUACUCUGGGAUGGGUUAUGGUUUAGUAGAGGGGAUUGUUCAAUUUUUGUGCAAGAAGCAUCAAAAUCAUGGUAUGGCCAAGCUCAUCGACUCUGUCCUCGACAUGGUCUGCAAGCGCAAGGAGAUCAAGAACUCCGACUGCCUCCAAUGUAUUAAACAUGGUGCCAUGUUUAUUUGUACUCUGAAUAGUAAUGCACCUGUAUGACUCGGUUUAGAACUACAAGAGGUGAAAUCAAUGGAUUUUAGUACAAGGAUAGGAGCAUAUUAUAGAAAAUACUAAUUUUCAGUAAUAAGUUACAGCUAGGUAUUGACACAUUAAGUAGGACCUACUUUGAUUGCACACUACCUUGACCAUUCCAGUGCCAUUGUAGCUUUAUCUGAUGGCUUACUUUGAUUGCACACUAACUGAUGACCUUUUCUUUACUAUUGAGCGUGAACAGGGAGGGGCCAUCGUCAGUGUUGGCCAUGCGGCGGCAGCAAGUACAAGGCAAGGUCGCUUGAAGAGAGUGGAGGAAGAGGACAAGGAUUCAGAGUAAUGCACUUCUCAGUUCUCAGUUAACAAGAAAAUGGCUGACACUGACAGUGAGGACAUACAGCUGCUUGUAUGUGAUAGUGGCACUGGAAUGGUCAAGGGUAUUCUGAAUUCAUUAUUGAAUGAAGAUUUAAUUGGAAGAAAGCGGACAUGAAGAAAGGAAUUAUUGGGAUUCAUUAUUCGUAUAUAUUAAUCAAGAAUGGGAACACAACCUUAGCCUUUGCCAUGCAAAUCCUGAUUGGCCGCUGCUUCCUCACCACGCACGAAGCCAGCGCAGACCCGCCCGCUCCAUCAGGCUCUGUAUUUCAAACCAAUCUUGCAAACUUUUGUUCACAUCUUAGAUUGCUUUUCAUGUUUUAAUGGUUGGAAGUCAGUAUUACUAAUAUGAACCUUGCAGGCAAACGAGAUGAAUCUGUCUAAAUGACCUUUCAUCAGUUUGUUCGUCAAUACUCAUCUCUUAGCUGAAGUCAAUACUCCCAUAUACAAUCUUUUAUUGUGGAUGCUGAUGAUGAUGAAGAACAAGACCUUUGUUCUCCACCUUCAGAUGAAAGAGCAUUCUUUGUACCAGAGACUACUGUCGUUCAACUCUCUGAGCCUGAAGUGCUAAUAAGUGAGUCAGUGAGUAUGGAAGUUCUCAUUGAAGUUCUUUCCACCUCUAAUUAGCAGCCUGAAGUUCUUUGACGAAAUGGGUGAAGACGGAAUUGAGUACAACUACUUAGAUUGCUCAGUUUUCCCUUGCUUAUUGCAUUCCGUAAAUUAUAUGAUAAUUAACAUUAUAUUUUGAUAAAAUUUAGAAAUAACAAUGAUGCAUGCGUUCGAAACAAGAGGUAAAAUAAUAGCAGAACACUAAACAAUUAAAAUGUUGCAAAACCAGAACUUACUCACCAUGUUGAAAGAGAUCCGAUUGGGAUGCUAGAAUUUGAACCUGGCAAGAGCCAUCGAUGAGGAAAACAAACCAACAAAAACCAAAUUCAAAUUUGGAAGCCAAGCCCCAUGGUACGAUCAGCAAGCAAUCCAGACCCUCGAGUUCUAAUUUUCGAUUUUUGAGACGAA
This is a long non-coding RNA of Lolium perenne, 2760 nucleotides long. RefSeq lists it as uncharacterized. NCBI's taxonomy places the organism in Eukaryota, Viridiplantae, Streptophyta, Magnoliopsida, Poales, Poaceae. The record is from RefSeq and is a predicted model, not a curated record.